This 254-nucleotide ribosomal RNA is filed under the name uncultured bacterium. RNAcentral describes it as "partial 16S ribosomal RNA". It matches the Rfam family "Bacterial small subunit ribosomal RNA", at positions 524 to 776 of the family's 1533-position model. The record is from RNAcentral.
UACGUAGGGGGCGAGCGUUGUCCGGAUUUAUUGGGCGUAAAGAGCUCGUAGGCGGUUUGGUAAGUCGGGUGUGAAAUCUCCACGCUCAACGUGGAGGGGCCACUCGAUACUGCCAUGACUCGAGUCCGGUAGAGGAGUGUGGAAUUCCCGGUGUAGUGGUGAUAUGCGUAGAUAUCGGGAGGAACACCAGUGGCGAAGGCGGCUCUCUGGGCCCUACCUGACGCUGAGACGCGAAAGCGUGGGGAGCGAACCGG